Non-coding RNA from Vicia faba (fava bean), 222 nucleotides. The record is from the annotation of a GenBank genome assembly. NCBI's taxonomy places the organism in Eukaryota, Viridiplantae, Streptophyta, Magnoliopsida, Fabales, Fabaceae.
AUGGAUUUUGAAGUAGCAGGUGUUGAAAUUGAAACAGAAGCCGAACAACUUCCGCGGACAACUCCCUUCCGGUCUCUUCCUCUUUUCGCUCCCAGCCGGCACGUCUUCUCCCUCCGUCCGGACAGAACCUCACUCCGGCCACCCAUCCGGUCCCCCUCCGUCAAUCUCUGUUACAUACUCCCUCUUUUCUUCACUUCAAAAUCCACUUUUAGUUGGAAUUAG